AUUGAACGCUGGCGGCAGGCCUAACACAUGCAAGUCGAACGAGUGGCGGACGGGUGAGUAAUGUCUGGGAAACUGCCCGAUGGAGGGGGAUAACUACUGGAAACGGUAGCUAAUACCGCAUACCAUCGGAUGUGCCCAGAUGGGAUUAGCUAGUAGGUGGGGUAACGGCUCACCUAGGCGACGCUCCCUAGAUGGGCUGAGAGGAUGACCAGCCACACUUGAACUGAGAAAAGGGCCGGACUCCUACGGGUGGCAGGAGUGGGGAAGAUUGGACAAAGGGCUCAGUCCUGAUGCAGCCAUGCCGGGUGUAAGAAGAAGGGCGUCGGGUUGUAAAGUACUUUCAGCGAGGAGGCGUUACUCGCAGAAGAAGCACCGGCUAACUCCGUGCCAGCAGCCGCGGUAAUUC
This 406-nucleotide ribosomal RNA is filed under the name uncultured bacterium. RNAcentral describes it as "partial 16S ribosomal RNA". It matches the Rfam family "Bacterial small subunit ribosomal RNA", at positions 29 to 526 of the family's 1533-position model. The record is from RNAcentral.